CGGUGCGAUCAUACCAGCACUAAUGCACCGGAUCCCUUCAGAACUGCGCAAUUAAGUGUGUUUGGGAGAGAGUAGUACUAGAAUGGGUGACCUCUAGGGAAGUCCUUGUGUUGCACCUG
Molecule: ribosomal RNA, 119 nt
Filed under: Lupinus angustifolius (narrow-leaved blue lupine)
Lineage: Eukaryota; Viridiplantae; Streptophyta; Magnoliopsida; Fabales; Fabaceae
Source: RNAcentral